GAUGAACGCUGGCGGCGUGCCUAAUACAUGCAAGUCGAGCGAACAGACGAGGAGCUUGCUCCUCUGACGUUAGCGGCGGACGGGUGAGUAACACGUGGAUAACCUACCUAUAAGACUGGGAUAACUUCGGGAAACCGGAGCUAAUACCGGAUAAUAUAUUGAACCGCAUGGUUCAAUAGUGAAAGACGGUUUUGCUGUCACUUAUAGAUGGAUCCUCCCCGCAUUAGCUAGUUGGUAAGGUAACGGCUUACCAAGGCAACGAUGCGUAGCCGACCUGGGAGGGGGAUCGGCCACACUGGAACUGAGACACGGUCCAGACUCCUACGGGAGGCAGCAGUAGGGAAUCUUCCGCAAUGGGCGAAAGCCUGACGGAGCGACGCCGCGUGAGUGAUGAAGGUCUUCGGAUCGUAAAACUCUGUUAUUAGGGAAGAACAAAUGUGUAAGUAACUAUGCACGUCUUGACGGUACCUAAUCAGAAAGCCACGGCUAACUACGUGCCAGCAGCCGCCGCCG
Molecule: ribosomal RNA, 513 nt
Filed under: uncultured bacterium
Lineage: Bacteria
Description: partial 16S ribosomal RNA
Rfam family: Bacterial small subunit ribosomal RNA
Source: RNAcentral